RNAcentral lists this ribosomal RNA (1446 nucleotides) under metagenome. RNAcentral's name for it is "bacterial SSU rRNA". It matches the Rfam family "Bacterial small subunit ribosomal RNA". The record is from RNAcentral.
AGAGUUUGAUCCUGGCUCAGGAUGAACGGUGGCGGCGUGGAUAAGGCAUGCAAGUUGAACGCUUAGUCCGCAAGGACUAGGAGUAGCAAACGGAUUAGUAAUAUACGGAUAACAUACCCCAGAGCGAGGCAUAACUCUCCGAAAGGAGAGCUAAUUCCUCGUACGCUCAGCGCUUGAAAUAGCGUUGAGGAAAGUCGCAAGACGCUCCGGGAGUGGUCCGUACUCUAUCAGCUAGUUGGUAAGGUAAUGGCUUACCAAGGCAACGACGGAUUGGGGGUGUGGGAGCACGACCCCCAAUACUGGGACUGAGACACUGCCCAGACACCUACGGGUGGCUGCAGUCGAGAAUCUUCGGCAAUGCGCGAAAGCGUGACCGAGCGACGCCGCGUGAUGGAUGAAGGCCUUCGGGUCGUAAACAUCUUUUCUAUGGGAAGAAUUUUGACGGUACCAUAGGAAUAAGGGGUUCCUAACUCUGUGCCAGCAGGAGCGGUAAUACAGAGACCCCAACCGUUAUCCGGAUUUAUUGGGCGUAAAGCGUCCGCAGCCGGCGUGGAAAGUGGUUUGUUAAAUCCAGAAGCUCAACUUCUGGGCUGCAGUCCAAACUUCCAUGCUAGAGAAAUGAAGAGGCAUAUGGAACUCAUGGUGGAGCAGUGAAAUGCGUUGAUAUCAUGGGGAACACCAAUGGCGAAGGCAGUAUGCUGGUCAUUUUCUGACGGUCAGGGACGAAAGCGUGGGGAGCGAACGGGAUUAGAUACCCCGGUAGUCCACGCUGUAAACGAUGCACACUAGGCAUGGGAGUCACUGACAUUUCCGUGUCGUAGCUAACGCGUUAAGUGUGCCGCCUGGGUAGUACGGCCGCAAGGCUAAAACUCAAAGGAAUAGACGGGGACCCGCACAAGCGGUGGAACAUGAGGUUCAAUUCGACGAUAAACGAAAAACCUUAUCCAAGUCUUGAAAGUCAUCAGAAUUUUGCAGAAAUGCGAAAGUGCCCGCAAGGGAGCUUUUGAUACAGGUGCUGCAUGGUUGUCGUCAGCUCGUGGUGUGAACUGUUCGGUUAAGUCCGGGAACGAGCGCAACCCUCGUCGCGCGUUAUAUGUGUCGCGAGACUGCCGUCGUCAAGACGGAGGAAGGCGAGGAUGACGCCAAAUCCGCAUGGCCCUCUGAAGACUUGGGCAACACUCGUGUUACAGUGGCCGGGACAAAGGGACGCAAAGCCGCAAGGCGAAGCAAAUCCCAUCAAACCCGGCCGUGGUUUGGACUGGAGUCUGCAACUCGUCUCCACGAAAAUGGAAUCGCUAGUAACCGUGAAUCAGCACGUCACGGUGAAUACGUUCUCGGGUUUUGUACUCACCGCCCGUCAAGUCAGAAGAGAGAGGGGCACCCGAAGUUCCUGUUUAUCAGGACCGAAGGUGACACUCUUGAUUAGGACUAAGUCGUAACAAGGCA